This 253-nucleotide ribosomal RNA is filed under the name uncultured bacterium. RNAcentral describes it as "partial 16S ribosomal RNA". It matches the Rfam family "Bacterial small subunit ribosomal RNA", at positions 524 to 776 of the family's 1533-position model. The record is from RNAcentral.
UACGUAGGUGGCAAGCGUUGUCCGGAUUUACUGGGCGUAAAGAGCGCGCAGGCGGGCGUUCAAGUCGCGUGUGAAAGCCCCCGGCUCAACUGGGGAGGGUCACGCGAUACUGAUCGACUCGAAGGCAGGAGAGGGUAGUGGAAUUCCCGGUGUAGCGGUGAAAUGCGCAGAUAUCGGGAAGAACACCCGUGGCGAAGGCGGCUCUCUGGGACGGUACUGACGCUGAGACGCGAAAGCGUGGGGAGCGAACAGG